This 655-nucleotide long non-coding RNA is filed under the name Hordeum vulgare. Its description in RNAcentral is "long non-coding RNA (HVUL_LNC016601)". Lineage: Eukaryota; Viridiplantae; Streptophyta; Magnoliopsida; Poales; Poaceae. The record is from RNAcentral.
UUGCUUGUAUUUGUUCCCUUUGAGAUCUAUCGAAUACAAGAUCAGAAGAUCACAGUAAUUAAUACUCUAUUACAAUAAACGAACAAAAGACGAUUGAAUCUUAAACAUGGACGAUAUUCAUCAUAUCGACAUCUAUCCGAAGUUCCCAAUAGCAAAGAACAGUAAGAUAUAGCUUAAACACAGAAAACGCUAGCAUGAAUCAUUGAAUCUUAAACAUGAUGCCCAUCCGUUGUCGAAUAGUUUUAUUCCCCUUGCCAUCUAACCCGACUAGCCAUCAAUCCAGCAUCAUGCGCCUUCCACUUCUCAAAGCUUCAAGGUCAGGUCGACCUCCUCACCGUCUCCGUCGUCGUUAACCUGCUGCUCCGCCUCAUGCUGCUCCAUGACCGGCUGUGCCGCUGGCGCUGCCGGCAGCCCGAGGAAGUUUAUCUCCACCGGAGGGCGCCCUCCAUGGCGGUACUCCGCCCAGAAGAAGUAGUUGCGAGCCAACAGCCACGGCCCCCGCAGAGUGCAGACGGGAAGAGUCGGGACGGGUAGGGGCUGGCUUACCGGCGCGUCCUCCUGGCGGCGGCGUUUCUUGAGGCAGGUGCGGUUGGACAUGUGGCCGCCAAGGGCCUGGACUGUUGGCCACCACUUAUCGCAGAGAGGGCACGGGUGG